CCUACGGGUGGCAGCAGUGGGGGAUCUUGCACAAUGGGGGAAACCCUGAUGCAGCGACGCCGCGUGGGUGAAGAAGUACCUCGGUACGUAAAGCUCUGUCAGCAGGGAAGAAAAUGACGGUACCUGACUAAGAAGCCCCGGCUAUCUACGUGCCAGCAGCCGCGGUAAUACGUAGGAGCCAAGCGUUAUCCGGAUUUCCUGGGUGUAAAGGGAGCGUAGACGGCAUGACAAGUCAGGAGUGAAAUGCCGGGGCUUAACCCUGAAAUUGCUAUGGAUACUGGCCGUCUGGAGUACAGGAGGGGUAAGCGGAAUUCGUAGUGUAGCGGUGAAAUGCGUAGAUAUUAGGAAGAACACCGGUGGCGAAGGCGGCUUACUAAACUGUAACUGACGUUGAGGCUCGAAAGCGUGGGGAGCAAACAGGAUUAGAUACCCCAGUAGUC
This 440-nucleotide ribosomal RNA is filed under the name uncultured bacterium. Its description in RNAcentral is "partial 16S ribosomal RNA". It matches the Rfam family "Bacterial small subunit ribosomal RNA", at positions 338 to 795 of the family's 1533-position model. The record is from RNAcentral.